Molecule: long non-coding RNA, 1951 nt
Organism: Homo sapiens (human)
Lineage: Eukaryota; Metazoa; Chordata; Mammalia; Primates; Hominidae
Gene: PKP4-AS1
Product: PKP4 antisense RNA 1
Source: Ensembl
GGGCUGGGGAGAGAAGCGGAAGCCAGUGAUAGGAUUCAGAGCUGGAACCAGAGAUAGCAGGUCAGGGCGGUAGGUUUGGUACUGAGGGGAGAAGGUUCAUUUGGGACAAAUUCACUGAGGCCUUGGGCAGAGUGAUAGUGCAUUUUUAUAGGGCAUCAACCCCUCACCUGUGAUGGGAGGGCAGAGGUUGGCAUGCAAUGGCACUUAUACAAGGGUAGAUUCCCUCCUUUCUGGAUGACUGUGAGGUGCACCUAGACUGUGGGUUAUGGGAGAUCCUGCCAGCCCUGGAGUGCCUGGGGCCACUGGGGCAGGGCCACAAUGCUUUCCCUGUGGGCGCCCUGGGCUUGGUGACCUCCAGAGUCAAUGUUAGUCAGGCCAUUGUUGGGCCAGUUGUGUUUGUUAAAGCUCUUUAAAACAACAUGCACAAUCACAGGCCUGUCCCACAACUGGAUUCAUGACUCUGAAAGGGUUUCUUGUCCAGGCAGAACCCCCUAGAAGGCUGGGGGCAGGGACGGGGCCGCCCCUUGCUUUCCCCAGUCUGGCUGCCAGCCCCGCGACUGCAGCUGGCACUGGCUGUGAGGCUGGGCCUGUGAGAGGCUCCGAGCAGCGGAACAACACAGUCCUUGAAGCCCAUCGAGACUCAAGUUGGCUGUGGGGGUGGAGGACAAAUGGGGAAUUAUCCUGAGGCUUCCCUGCCCUCUGCUUUGCCAAGGGUUCAUAGUGGACUUGCUGGGAGGCACAAGGGCAGGGGCUAGGAGAGUCCAGCUGUUACAAACCCAGGGGCUCCUCUGCCUAGAAACCCCUUUCUAACCAGGCCAGCACAACCAGCUGCAGACAAUAGUGGCAAAGCAGCCAGCAUCCCUGCUUGGGCACUCCUCACCAUGCAAGGGAGGGAGGAGCUGUGCUGGGGCAGGCCCUGCUCUCCACACCUGGGCAGGCAGGGCUGGGGAUAUUAAUAUGAGUUAUCUGAGUGUUUUCAUGCCAAAUGCUGUGCUCAGCACUGUGCUUAUCUUACAAAAAUUAACCCACGAGAUAGACGCAGCCAGUAUAGCAAGGCGGUGUCCAGGGUCGCAUGGCCAGUAAGUGCAGGGCCAGGAUGUGAUCCCAGCUCUGUCCAACUCGCAUGGGAGCUCUUCACCAAGACAGGACUUGCAGGACUCAGAAGAUGGACGCACUGUGUAACUGUGAGCCCACUGCUUCACCUCUCUGAGCUGCAGAGAAAAGAUGACGAGAAGGAGAGGUCUUAGAACACAUCCUUAUCUGAAGGACAGGAUACAGUCUUGUUUUAGGAAACUCCAGCUGCUCUGUGUCAUUGAAAGGGAAGAGGAGAGACCAGAUGGUCCAAGUUCGCCAUGGCACUGGUAAGGACCUGAGACUGACUGCAGGCCCUUCAUGAAAGCAAAGCCUGGGUGUGUUAUAACCGCCAGUCCCACUCUCCCACAGUGAGGUCCAUCCCGGCAGGGGCUGAGUCCACCUUGACCACUGAGACAAACAGACCUGGUGAUGGACUCAGUGUUUUUAAAUUGUGGAGCUUGGACAGGGAGGGGCGAGAUGGAGAACGAGGUAUACACAAAAGAGAACAAUGUGAUGAGGGCAUGAAGUGUGCUUACCAACCUUCCCUCACUCAGAGGCUGGAAGAGAUUUUAGAGCUUAACAGAAAAAGAGUGGGAAGAGGACACUGCUGGGCAAAAGACAUGAACUAAAGACUUCUCGGCUGUCCCCAUCAGUGGCACGGUGGUCUCAGCAGUACCGAUGUGGAUACUCAAGAACGUGAGGCUACCGUGGAAAUGCUUUGCUUAAACCACACGUUGAGUUUCCAAGGAGUGAAGAUCCCCAGGGAAAGCAUCUAGGACCCUGCCAUGUUGGCCCAGCUCUGGGAAGUCAAUCGACGUGGACCCCUUACUGUGUUAACUGCUAAUCAGCCUUCUGUAAAAAUGAUAUUGCAAAUUCA